Long non-coding RNA from Anguilla anguilla (European eel), 3531 nucleotides. RefSeq lists it as uncharacterized. The transcript has 2 exons. The record is from RefSeq and is a predicted model, not a curated record. NCBI's taxonomy places the organism in Eukaryota, Metazoa, Chordata, Actinopteri, Anguilliformes, Anguillidae.
UCAGCCCACCGCCGCUCUGUCAGCCCACCGCCGCUCUGUCAGCCCACCGCUGCUCUGUCAGCCCACCGCCGCUCUGUCGGCCCACUGCCGCUCUGUCGCCAUUAAUGCGGGAGCGCCGCUCGCCGCUCGGCUCUGACUCCCUCACCUUUGCGUCUGCUUGUGAGUCCCAGCUGUGUUUCCACGGUGUCCCGGGGAGCUGGGUGCCCUGCAGAGUCACCUACUCAUGCCCACUGAAAGGAAGGAAAGGAUGCUGAGUAUGUAUUUAUAUAUACAAGUGGGAGAAAUAAUCCAUGCCCCAGCAACAAUCAGGUUGCACCCUUAAAUAUAGCAACUAAUAAGGGUACAGUGAGGCACUCUCAUAUGGAAAAUACAUCUUUAGUUUAUUGGAUAACAUACAUGACAUUUUGGUCUAGAGAUAUAUUUUCCAUACAAGAGUGUCAUGCCUCUCUUUAAACUUAUGUAUCUAUAUAUAUGCAAGCGAAUUAUCACGAAUGUGUCAAGUGAUAGAUGGGCUGUUCGUGCUGUGGGCCACAGACCAGCUUUGUCAUGCCUGUCUGUUGAUGGAUUCUGUUUAUCAGACCUGCAGGAGGGUGUGUCGGACAGGAAAAGGAUGAAGUCAGCAAUAUGCCUGGCGAUGGGGAAGUAGUGUUGUUCCCUUGUCAGCCAGCUGCACAAAUGAGAAAGGAAUGUAGGCAGUGUAAGUCGCUGUGGAUAAGAGUGUCUGCUGAAUGUAAAAUGCAGUGUAAAUUCAAAUGUGAAGAAAGGCUGUAUCUCAGAACUAAUGCCGAUCAAUACUAUGCUUUUAUGCUGCACUUGACCUCUGUCUAAUGUCAUGGAGCUCCUUCCAAGUUUUAAAAAUUUCUCUCCACAUGCUAUCCUUCUCUACAGUGCAUUUAAUUCACACAACCAAGCUGCCAAUUGCUUUAGAGUGACUCUAUUUCGACAGUAGACAAUAAUUUAUGUUUGGGGACAGUAUCUUCUCACCUGAAUCGGAGAGAUGGAAAAAUAUAAUAAUACUAAUACUAAUAAUGAUAUUAAUAAUAAUAAUAAUAAUAAUAAUAAUAAUAAUUAUUAUUAUUAUUAUUAUAAUAAGAGGCUCCUUAGUUGAAGUUCUGGAAGUGUGUGUGUGCAUAUACAUUAUACAUUCCCCUUGGACAGUGAUUGGAACUCCAGCAGUCAGCCACCACCCGUUACUUUCAGAGAUAAAUCUGCAGCCUUCUGGAAGGGUCUGGAGCCUUGGAUGUCACCUCAUACAUUCUCACUGUGGCUGGCAUGGGUCCAGUAACAGUGUAGAGGAGUACUUGGGUCACUGCCUCCAUCACCACCGCUCCAUUCUGAUGCAGGGGCACACAUUAUAAUUCCUAACUGCGGCAAUUAUACUUCUCCCAGAAUUAUGAAAAUUGUAUGCUGUCACACAACAGCCACUGUGAUAGAUUGCUGGCCUAUCAUGUGCCUCUCACCCAAUACAUGCUGGGCGCCCCCCGCGACCCCCUGGCUCCGUGGUUUCCACACAGUUUUCAGUUAGCUCGUCUACAGUCUGUGGUUCUUACCAUGAAGAAAAUGUUUGCUUAUCCUAACGUCUCCAAGCCUUGAGGGGGUGCUGUACAGUACUUAAAUGCUGGUAUCAAUGCAAUGGCAGUAAUAAGGUAUAAAGAUAAGCUCAUACUCCUGAUCGCCGUGAAAGGGGAAGGGAAAAGCAAUAUCAGAGAACCUUCCCUUCAGUAUUCUGUAUUUUGCCUGUAAAAACAUUGUAUGUUUGCCAAGCAGCAUUGUGACUCAGCGAAAAUCAAAUGAGUCUUCACAACACAGGACUCCCUGCUGGAGCCUUGUGAAAACACAUUAAGAUAUUUUUACAUAUUGUCAAUUACCCUCAACACAAAUGAAAUUCUCCCUUCUGUUUCUGUCUCUCAAAUUUAGCAUUCAGUGUGAAUGUCAACAUUUACCUUCCGUGCAUAUUGGUGAGGUCUAGCUGUUCCAUUUCAAUCUUAAAUCUAUUAGUAUUAUGCAUGACAGAGAUGAAAACAAAGGCUCGAGUUGCCCUUAGAGACACGUAAUGAUGUAGCCUGAAGUUACAGUAAUUAGGCAGGACAUAUUUUUUUAUUUUUUUAUUCUUGGCUGAUAGGCAUUUUGUUGCCACUGCAGAGAUAACACAUCCUCACUUAGCAGUGAGUGGGUAUAAGAACAGCAGUAAGUAUGUGUAGUAUGAACCAAAGGUUACUGAAGGACAUGUUGGCUAGCUAUGAUGCAGGUUCUGUACACAUCAGCCCCAUCACCACUAGUGCCCCUCUAAUAACUACUUGAGACACAAUAUUGAUUGGCAUACAUAUUGAUGCAUCCCUAUCUGUUUGUAAUGUACAGCACACUGUGGCCAUUUUUAAUUGUCCAUGUUGAGCCACUAGAUUAUUUAGAAAUAUAUUUUUAUUUUCAAAACCCUAGGGGGCAUCCUUGUAAAUGUCUGUGUGAAGUAACUUAGAUAUGAGUAUUUCACAGAUAUGGUUUGGGUAGUUUUAUGAGACACAACUUGGGAUUGUUAUAUUUUGGAAAAGUCACGUUUUCUGCCAAAAUUUAACAGCCAGGUUUUCAUGCUCCAGGUGGUACAUUGCCUAUGAAUGAGGAUCUUUUUUCCUUUAAAUGAACCACUAACCUUGAGUGAACUGGACAUGUUCCAUCCCUGUCAUGUAUAUUAUUGCUGUCUGUUUCACAGCACCGCCUUGUGGUAAAAAAGGAGUAGCACACCAGAAAAGAUAUUUUGAUAAUGAGCGCUGCUCUUAAUUUGCAUUAGCGCCUUAAUAUUGUUGCAUACAUUUGCUGGGGUAUAUUAUUGGCCAGGUCUGGCACUAUUACUCAUAUAAAUCAGGUUGAGGCAUUUUCCUACAUUGUAUGUCUGUGUAGAUAAGUGAAUGCCAUGUAAUGUACUGUGAACAGCAGGAACUUGGGAGCAGCAAUAGUGUAUACUAUGAUGGUUUAUUUAAAGUUAUAAUUUGAGGAAUUACAAUGAGGCUCAGUCUGAGAGCAGAAGUUAAAUGAGGAUGAUCUACAACAGAGUAUGCAAGAAGAGGAGAAAAUUAUGGAGAGGGAGAAGGAGAGAGAAAAGAGAUGUAGAAGAGAAUGAAAGAGAUGGAGAGGAGGAACAGAGAAAGGACAGAGUGAAAAAUCAGACAAAAGGAAGAAAAUGCAAAGAAAGUAUAAAUAUCACAUUGGUCUGAAGGAAGUGUCAAGAGAAGAAAUGGGUAAAACAUUUCUUAAUAAAAUACCAUACACCCCCUAUACUUGACUUUCUGUGUGGGUGUUUUUUCCUUAAAAAAAUGCACUCGAUCCUUACAUUAUGUGUGUGUCUGUGCACAUGUUGUGUGUGUUUGUGUGGGUGUGGUUGUUACCACCCAUACAGUUUAAUUUAUCUAGCCGAUCACCUGAAUGCUGUAUAAUUUAUCACAACUUUAUUAUACAGCUAUUUGAGAACUUAAUGUUCAUGUCUCAUGAUGUUAAUGUAUCAUUUAUGAGAGCUACCAAUUCACAUGCUCUUUUGCCCAA